AACGAACGCUGGCGGCAUGCCUAACACAUGCAAGUCGAACGAUUGCCUUCGGGUGAUAGUGGCGCACGGGUGCGUAACGCGUGGGAAUCUGCCCUUAGGUUCGGAAUAACAGCUGGAAACGGCUGCUAAUACCGGAUGAUAUCGCGAGAUCAAAGAUUUAUCGCCUGAGGAUGAGCCCGCGUUGGAUUAGGUAGUUGGUGGGGCAAAGGCCUGCCAAGCCGACGAUCCAUAGCUGGUCUGAGAGGAUGAUCAGCCACACUGGGACUGAGACACGGCCCAGACUCCUACGGGAGGCAGCAGUGGGGAAUAUUGGACAAUGGGCGCAAGCCUGAUCCAGCAAUGCCGCGUGAGUGAUGAAGGCCCUAGGGUUGUAAAGCUCUUUUACCCGGGAAGAUAAUGACUGUACCGGGAGAAUAAGCCCCGGCUAACUCCGUG
RNAcentral lists this ribosomal RNA (435 nucleotides) under uncultured bacterium. Its description in RNAcentral is "partial 16S ribosomal RNA". It matches the Rfam family "Bacterial small subunit ribosomal RNA", at positions 29 to 507 of the family's 1533-position model. The record is from RNAcentral.